RNAcentral lists this non-coding RNA (177 nucleotides) under uncultured Blautia sp. RNAcentral describes it as "Lysine riboswitch". It matches the Rfam family "Lysine riboswitch aptamer". Rfam says of the family: Riboswitches are metabolite binding domains within certain messenger RNAs that serve as precision sensors for their corresponding targets. Allosteric rearrangement of mRNA structure is mediated by ligand binding, and this results in modulation of gene expression. This family includes riboswitches that sense lysine in a number of genes involved in lysine metabolism, including lysC. Lineage: Bacteria; Bacillati; Bacillota; Clostridia; Lachnospirales; Lachnospiraceae. The record is from RNAcentral.
AGAUAGAGGCGCAGGUUUCAAGAGUAUUUCCGGAUUGUUGUGAUAAAUGACAGGUUUUUGGAGGGCCUUCCGGUAAAGAAAGGGAAAACUGCCGAAGAGACUGCAUCAGCCAAAGGAUGGAGCUUCUGGGACACCGCAGAAUAUGCGGUGUACUGUCACUUUUGUGGAGCGCUAUCU